GCCAUCCUUGGGAUACCACCCUUGUAGUACUGGGACUCUAACCAUAGGCCAUGAAUCUGGUCUUGGGACACUGUCAGGUGGGCAGUUUGACUGGGGCGGUCGCCUCCCAAAAGGUAACGGAGGCGCUCAAAGGUUCUCUCAGUACGGUCGGAAAUCGUACGUAGAGUGUAAAGGCAAAAGAGAGCUGGAUUGCAAGACAUACAGGUCGAGCAAGGAUGAAAAUCGGACUUAGUGAGCCGGUGGUUCUGCGUGGAAGGGCCAUCGCUCAACGGAUAAAAGCUACCCUGGGGAUAACAGGCUUAUCUCCCCCAAGAGUCCACA
Molecule: ribosomal RNA, 321 nt
Filed under: Clostridioides difficile
Lineage: Bacteria; Bacillati; Bacillota; Clostridia; Peptostreptococcales; Peptostreptococcaceae
Description: bacterial LSU rRNA
Rfam family: Bacterial large subunit ribosomal RNA
Source: RNAcentral